CCUACGGGGGGCAGCAGUGAGGAAUAUUGGUCAAUGGGCGGGAGUCUGAACCAGCCAAGUCGCGUGAGGGAAGACGGUCCUAUGGAUUGUAAACCUCUUUUAUAAAGGAAUAAAGUGAGGCACGUGUGCCUUUUUGUAUGUACUUUAUGAAUAAGGAUAGGCUAACUCCGUGCCAGCAGCCGCGGUAAUACGGAGGAUCCGAGCGUUAUCCGGAUUUAUUGGGUUUAAAGGGAGCGUAGAUGGGUUGUUAAGUCAGUUGUGAAAGUUUGCGGCUCAACCGUAAAAUUGCAAUUGAUACUGGCAGUCUUGAGUACAGUUGAGGUAGGCGGAAUUCGUGGUGUAGCGGUGAAAUGCUUAGAUCUCACGAAGAACUCCGAUUGCGACGGCAGCUUACUAAACUGCCACUGACAUUGAUGCUCGAAAGUGUGGGUAUCAAACAGGAUUAGAUACCCUUGUAGUC
RNAcentral lists this ribosomal RNA (460 nucleotides) under uncultured bacterium. Its description in RNAcentral is "partial 16S ribosomal RNA". It matches the Rfam family "Bacterial small subunit ribosomal RNA", at positions 338 to 795 of the family's 1533-position model. The record is from RNAcentral.